Molecule: ribosomal RNA, 743 nt
Filed under: uncultured bacterium
Lineage: Bacteria
Description: bacterial SSU rRNA
Rfam family: Bacterial small subunit ribosomal RNA
Source: RNAcentral
AGCGGCGGAUGGGUGAGUAACACGUGGGGAACCUGCCCCUAAGUCUGGGAUACCAUUUGGAAACAGGUGCUAAUACCGGAUAAUAAAGCAGAUCGCAUGAUCAGCUUUUGAAAGGCGGCGUAAGCUGUCGCUAAGGGAUGGCCCCGCGGUGCAUUAGCUAGUUGGUAAGGUAACGGCUUACCAAGGCGACGAUGCAUAGCCGAGUUGAGAGACUGAUCGGCCACAUUGGGACUGAGACACGGCCCAAACUCCUACGGGAGGCAGCAGUAGGGAAUCUUCCACAAUGGACGCAAGUCUGAUGGAGCAACGCCGCGUGAGUGAAGAAGGUUUUCGGAUCGUAAAGCUCUGUUGUUGGUGAAGAAGGAUAGAGGUAGUAACUGGCCUUUAUUUGACGGUAAUCAACCAGAAAGUCACGGCUAACUACGUGCCAGCAGCCGCGGUAAUACGUAGGUGGCAAGCGUUGUCCGGAUUUAUUGGGCGUAAAGCGAGCGCAGGCGGAAAAAUAAGUCUAAUGUGAAAGCCCUCGGCUUAACCGAGGAACUGCAUCGGAAACUGUUUUUCUUGAGUGCUGAAGAGGGGAGUGGAACUCCAUGUGUAGCGGUGGAAUGCGUAGAUAUAUGGAAGAACACCAGUGGCGAAGGCGGCUCUCUGGUCUGCAACUGACGCUGAGGCUCGAAAGCAUGGGUAGCGAACAGGAUUAGAUACCCUGGUAGUCCAUGCCGUAAACGAUGAGUGCUAAGUGU